RNAcentral lists this ribosomal RNA (406 nucleotides) under uncultured bacterium. Its description in RNAcentral is "partial 16S ribosomal RNA". It matches the Rfam family "Bacterial small subunit ribosomal RNA", at positions 30 to 526 of the family's 1533-position model. The record is from RNAcentral.
AUUGAACGCUGGCGGCAGGCCUAACACAUGCAAGUCGAGCGAGCGGCGGACGGGUGAGUAAUGUCUGGGAAACUGCCUGAUGGAGGGGGAUAACUACUGGAAACGGUAGCUAAUACCGCAUACCAUCAGAUGUGCCCAGAGGGGAUUAGCUAGUAGGUGGGGUAACGGCUCACCUAGGCGACGAUCCCUAGCUGGUCUGCGAGGAUGACCAGCCACACUGGGACUAGGACACGGUCCAGACGCCUCCGGGAGGCAGCAGUGGGGAAUAUUGCACAAUGGGCGCAAGCCUGAUGCAGCCAUGCCGUGUGUGUGAAGAAGGCCUUCGGGUUGUAAAGCACUUUCAGCGGUGAGUCGUUACCCGCAGAAGAAGCACCGGCUAACUCCGUGCCAGCCGCCGCGGUAAUAC